This 460-nucleotide ribosomal RNA is filed under the name uncultured bacterium. RNAcentral describes it as "partial 16S ribosomal RNA". It matches the Rfam family "Bacterial small subunit ribosomal RNA", at positions 338 to 795 of the family's 1533-position model. The record is from RNAcentral.
CCUACGGGAGGCAGCAGUGAGGAAUAUUGGUCAAUGGACGAGAGUCUGAACCAGCCAAGCAGCGUGAAGGAUGACUGCCCUAUGUGUUGUAAACUUCUUUUAUAAAGGAAUAAAACGCGGCACGUGUGCCUUUUUGCAUGUACUUUAUGAAUAAGGAUCGGCUAACUCCGUGCCAGCAGCCGCGGUAAUACGGAGGAUCCGAGCGUUAUCCGGAUUUAUUGGGUUUAAAGGGAGCGUAGAGGGGUUGUUAAGUCAGGUGUGAAAGUUUGCGGCUCAACCGUAAGAUUGCAGUUGAAACUGGCGGUCUUGAGUGCGGUAGAGGUGAGCGGAAUUCGUGGUGUAGCGGUGAAAUGCUUAGAUAUCACGAAGAACUCCGAUUGCGAAGGCAGCUCACUGGACUGCAACUGACGCUGAGGCUCGAAAGUGUGGGUAUCAAACAGGAUUAGAUACCCGGGUAGUC